Molecule: RNA transcript, 1773 nt
Organism: Myxocyprinus asiaticus (Chinese sucker)
Lineage: Eukaryota; Metazoa; Chordata; Actinopteri; Cypriniformes; Catostomidae
Gene name: ras association domain-containing protein 8-like
Exons: 6
Source: RefSeq, a predicted model, not a curated record
AUUCAGAAACCAUAAGGAUUGGAAAUGUCACCUGAUAUUGUGCAGUCCAAACCUUCCCUAAAACUUAAGAGGACUGAGUACAGACCCUCGCCCUUCGCCAACACAAAGAAUAUAGAAAGAAUCCAGACGUUACCAUGCACUGCUGAUGUGAGCUCUCCUUUUGUUUCUGUGUCUCUGAUGGAGCUAAAGGUGUGGGUGGAUGGAGUGGUACGAGUGGUUUGUGGCUUAUCAGAGGAGACAUCUUGCCAGGACGUGGUCAUUGCACUUGCCCAAGCCAUUGGCCAAACGGGUCGUUACGUUCUCAUUCAAAGGCUGAGGGACACUGAGCACCAACUUCUGGCCAAUGAGCGUCCACUGGAGUCCCUAGCCAAACUUGGCCAGCACAGCAAUGAGGUGCAAUUCUUCCUGCGGCGGACGGGCCCGAGCAGCAGUGAAGAAAAAAAUCUGCACAACCACACCCUCCCACUCAAGCCCUCUACACCUGAACCCAAACGAGGAUUACCUAAAAGGUCCUUAACCUUCAACCUAGGCCCUUCCAGUUCUCCUCAUACGAAAUCUAAGGACUCUCGCAAAACACCCUCUCCUGAGCAAAGGGCAUCCCCAAUUCCUCACGGCACAUACCUGCCCGGGCCGUCCAAAGAGGAGCUGUUCCGGCAUGUUCUCCAGCAGCAGGAGCAGCUACGUGCCUUGGAGUCCCAGCUGGUGACCCUAGGGAGGGAAUGCAAGACUUGGGAACAGUUGCCUACUAACGAGUCAUCUCUGCAUGCAGAAAUAGAUGUUCUGGAGAAGGCACUAUGGAAGAACCAGCAAGAGCUGGUGAAUGAGGAGUUCUGGGAGGAGGAGCUAAGGGUGGAGACCGAGCGGGAGUGGGGGAUGAAGCAAAGGUUAGGAGAGCUGCACACUAAACUAGAUGAUUGUGGACAAAAGAUGCACGAAUUCAACACUCGUGCUAUGCAACUUGAGAAGAACCUUCAGAAGGAAAGGCUGGAGGUGAAAGUAUCGCCCAGCCAAGCUGAUUCAAAAGACUCAUUGUGGGUAGUCAAGGCUGAGCUUCAGAGUAGACAAAUGCACAGGGAGGAGUUGGAGGUGGAACUUAUAGAACUCGAGAAGGCUCUGGGGAGGGCGGAGACUCUGCUGAAGGCUAAGCAGGAGGAGGUGGAAGAGUUGAAUAAGGAGCUGAGGCAGUGUAAUUUGCAGCAGUUUAUCCAGCAGGCUGGAGCCCUGCCGACACACAGUCAAUGUUGUACAGACCUCAGUGAACAUUCAGAACAACUGGAUCUGAUUCAACAACUGCUGGACAAAAACAGAGACAAUGACUUGCCCCUACCUCCCACCGCCAAGCAGUUCCUGGGUCACCCACGCAAACUGCAGCACCCCCUGGUGUCCAGCCUGAACCCUGAGGGUGUGUAUGUGUGACAGCUGCUGUCGCAGACGCCUGCUGCUUUCCUGCCCUGCCCUGCUCCGCAACCCCAGCCUGCCAUGCCCAGUGGUGGCAGCCCUUUCUGCGUGAAGUCCUGACAUCCAGGGAUUCGUCUUGCCAGUAAAAACCUGCAGCACAGGGCUGAGGAUUUGUAAUGACUUUCUUCUGUAUUAUUCAAAACCUUUGUCUUAAUUAACUGUCAUCAAUACUGUAUAUAUGAAUUAUAUGUUUACUACUUUUUGGUAUAUUUCAAACCAUGUACUUACUGUAAAAUAUUACCAUAAGAUUUUAUCUCAAGAACUUUUACUAUUGUCUGAGUAUUUAAGUACAAUAAAGACUUGUGUCUUUGAUCA